UACGGGGGGGGCAAGCGUUGUUCGGAAUUACUGGGCGUAAAGGGUUCGUAGGUGGUCAACUAAGUCGGACGUGAAAUCCCUCAGCUUAACUGGGGAACUGCGUCUGAUACUGGUUGACUUGAGUGCAGGAGAGGAACGCGGAAUUCCAGGUGUAGCGGUGAAAUGCGUAGAUAUCUGGAGGAACACCGGUGGCGAAGGCGGCGUUCUGGACUGUAACUGACACUGAGGAACGAAAGCCAGGGGAGCAAACGGG
Molecule: ribosomal RNA, 253 nt
Filed under: uncultured bacterium
Lineage: Bacteria
Description: partial 16S ribosomal RNA
Rfam family: Bacterial small subunit ribosomal RNA
Source: RNAcentral